UCCGAGUUGACCCCGGCAGUCUCCUGCGAGUCCCCGCCAUUACGCGCUGGCAACACAGGACAAGGGUUGCGCUCGUUGCGGGACUUAACCCAACAUCUCACGACACGAGCUGACGACAGCCAUGCACCACCUGUCACUCUGUCCCCCGAAGGGGAUAGUCCUAUCUCUAGGAUUGUCAGAGGAUGUCAAGACCUGGUAAGGUUCUUCGCGUUGCUUCGAAUUAAUCCACAUAAUCCACCGCUUGUGCGGGUCCCCGUCAAUUCCUUUGAGUUUUAGCCUUGCGGCCGUACUCCCCAGGCGGGGCGCUUAAUGCGUUAGCUACGGCACGGAACCCAUGGAAUAGGUCCCACACCUAGCGCCCAACGUUUACGGUGUGGACUAC
RNAcentral lists this unclassified non-coding RNA (382 nucleotides) under uncultured Actinomycetes bacterium. Its description in RNAcentral is "uncultured actinobacterium contains 16S-23S intergenic spacer region". The record is from RNAcentral. Lineage: Bacteria; Bacillati; Actinomycetota; Actinomycetes.